This 325-nucleotide ribosomal RNA is filed under the name uncultured eukaryote. RNAcentral describes it as "partial 18S ribosomal RNA". It matches the Rfam family "Eukaryotic small subunit ribosomal RNA", at positions 1470 to 1796 of the family's 1831-position model. The record is from RNAcentral.
CCCUUAGAUGUUCUGGGCUGCACGCGCGCUACACUGGUGCGCUCAACGAGUUUACGACCUUGCCCGGAAGGGUUGGGUAAUCUUUUUAAAACGCAUCGUGAUGGGGAUAGAUUAUUGCAAUUAUUAAUCUUUAACGAGGAAUUCCUAGUAAGCGCGAGUCAUCAGCUCGUGCUGAUUACGUCCCUGCCCUUUGUACACACCGCCCGUCGCUCCUACCGAUUGAAUGCUCAGGUGAGCCAUUCGGACUUUCAUCAUGCUGGUUUCCAGUUUUGAUGAAGGAAAGUCUUGCGAACCUUAUCAUUUAGAGGAAGGAGAAGUCGUAACA